RNAcentral lists this ribosomal RNA (196 nucleotides) under uncultured bacterium. Its description in RNAcentral is "partial 16S ribosomal RNA". It matches the Rfam family "Bacterial small subunit ribosomal RNA", at positions 333 to 539 of the family's 1533-position model. The record is from RNAcentral.
ACGCUCGACACCUGAGGCAGCAGUGGGGAAUAUUGCACAAUGGGGGAAACCCUGAUGCAGCGACGCCGCGUGAGCGAAGAAGUAUUUCGGUAUGUAAAGCUCUAUCAGCAGGGAAGAAGAAAGACGGUACCUGACUAAGAAGCCCCGGCUAACUACGUGCUAGCAGCCGCGGUAAUCUGAGGCGGGCUGGCAAGGC